GACGAACGCUGGCGGCGUGCUUAACACAUGCAAGUCGAACGGUGAAGGGAUCAGCUUGCUGGUUCUGGAUGAGUGGCGAACGGGUGAGUAACACGUGAGUAACCUGCCCCCUUCUUCUGGAUAACCGCAUGAAAGUGUGGCUAAUACGGGAUAUUCUGCGCCUGCUGCAUGGUGGGUGUGGGAAAGAUAUUGUUUCGGUGGGGGAUGGGCUCGCGGCCUAUCAGCUUGUUGGUGGGGUGAUGGCCUACCAAGGCGGUGACGGGUAGCCGGCCUGAGAGGGUGGACGGUCACACUGGGACUGAGACACGGCCCAGACUCCUACGGGAGGCAGCGGUGGGGAAUAUUGCACGAUGGGCGCAAGCCUGAUGCAGCGACGCCGCGUGAGGGAUGGAGGCCUUCGGGUUGUGAACCUCUUUCGCCAGUGAAGCAGGCCUGUCCCUUGUGGGUGGGUUGACGGUAGCUGGAUAAGAAGCGCCGGCUAACUACGUG
RNAcentral lists this ribosomal RNA (489 nucleotides) under uncultured bacterium. RNAcentral describes it as "partial 16S ribosomal RNA". It matches the Rfam family "Bacterial small subunit ribosomal RNA", at positions 28 to 507 of the family's 1533-position model. The record is from RNAcentral.